GUUAGCAACUCCAGAGCAGACAACUAUUAAUAUUCUCCUUCCCAGGGGCUUCAGUAAAAUCCCAGCAUUGGCUCUAUUGGCCUGGUUUGGUUCAUAUGUGACUUCCUGAACCAAUUAGGACGUGUUGGCACUUGAGUGGCCAGGCCUAAAUCACAUGUCUCCCCCUGGAGAUGGGGGCGGAGGUUGUUCAGAUUUCCCAGAGGUACACCCUUCAGGUUCCAUCCUGGAGGACAAUGGCCAGUGUUCUGGGAAUUUCAGCGGAUGAGGAUCCGAGAGGCUGAGUAACUUGCCUGAGGAAAAACAGUCAAAGAGUGGAAGUAUCACUUGGCUGCAUCUGGAUCCAGAGUCCCUGCGCUUUCCACUGCCCUACUUAGAUGGCCCUGGGUCUCCUAUAAUAUCAGCACAGCCUGGUGCCCCCAAGGCUUUGAAAAAGUCCCACAGAUUGGAACCCAGCUCAGCUCCCAGGCACCCCCCAGGUCGGGAGGGAGAAUGCAGCUUUAGAACCUUAGCUGUCACCUCUGCCACCACCUUCUUCCCGGCAGAGGGACUCCCUCCAAGACUGGGUAAGGGUGUGAAAAAGGGGCAGCAGUGGGCAGGAUGGGGGUCAGACGCCGAGAGGGUAGCAAAGAUUGGAGCAUCAGGAAGUGAACAUGCCUGGGACUGUUGGGGAGCAGCGAUCCAGGGAGAGAGCUUGGUGUUUGGGGAUUCGACUGAGGCCUGUGAAGGAGAAGCAGAUGGGGCCUGGGGCUCCCCCAGAGUGUGGCCCUUCCCUGUCCCUUCUGCUCCCUCUCCAUCUUUAAAAAAUUUUAUUU
Molecule: long non-coding RNA, 812 nt
Organism: Bos taurus (domestic cattle)
Lineage: Eukaryota; Metazoa; Chordata; Mammalia; Artiodactyla; Bovidae
Source: Ensembl